ACGACCUUAUCCCCUAACCUUUCCCGACGUGAGUUCGUGGUGUCUUUUUUGGGGCAUCAUGGAUUCCGUUGGACCAUAACAAAACCCCGGCACGGUAUGUGCCAAGGAAAACAAAAAUGAGAAGGACACUACCUGUUUCGCCCCGUUUGCGGUGUGCGUACAGGUCGUGGCCUCCUUGGAAUCACAAACGACUCUCGGCAACGGAUAUCUCGGCUCACGCAUCGAUGAAGAACGUAGCAAAAUGCGAUACUUGGUGUGAAUUGCAGAAUCCCGUGAACCAUCGAGUUUUUGAACGCAAGUUGCGCCCGAAGCCAUCCGGCUGAGGGCACGCCUGCCUGGGCGUCACGCAUCGCGUCGCUCCCCACCAUACCUCCCCAACGGGUUGGCAUGGUGUUGGGGGCGGAUAAUGGCCUCCCGUGCUUGUGUUUCGGUUGGCCUAAAUAAGAGUUCCCUUCGGCGGACACACGACUAGUGGUGGUUGAAUAGACCCUCGUCUUUUGUUGCGUGUCGUGAGCUGUAAGGGUAGCCCUCAUCAAAGACCCCAUUGUAUCGUCUUCGGAUGAUGCUUCGACCGCGACCCCAGGUCAGGCGGGACUACCCGCUGAG
RNAcentral lists this ribosomal RNA (606 nucleotides) under embryophyte environmental sample. RNAcentral's name for it is "eukaryotic LSU rRNA". The stretch from base 190 to 345 matches the Rfam family "5.8S ribosomal RNA". Lineage: Eukaryota; Viridiplantae; Streptophyta. The record is from RNAcentral.